RNAcentral lists this small RNA (28 nucleotides) under Bombyx mori (domestic silkworm). RNAcentral's name for it is "ovarian small RNA-9148". The record is from RNAcentral. Lineage: Eukaryota; Metazoa; Arthropoda; Insecta; Lepidoptera; Bombycidae.
UGUUACUUUGCGUUUACUCUGCUUAGCA